RNAcentral lists this ribosomal RNA (499 nucleotides) under uncultured bacterium. Its description in RNAcentral is "partial 16S ribosomal RNA". It matches the Rfam family "Bacterial small subunit ribosomal RNA", at positions 28 to 507 of the family's 1533-position model. The record is from RNAcentral.
GAUGAACGCUGGCGGCGUGCCUAAUACAUGCAAGUCGAGCGAACAGACGAGAGUGCUUGCCCUCUCUGACGUUAGCGGCGGACGGGUGAGUAACACGUGGGUAACCUACCUAUAAGACUGGGAUAACUUCGGGAAACCGGAGCUAAUACCGGAUAAUAUUUAGCUUCGCAUGAAGCAAUAGUGAAAGACGGUUCUGCUGUCACUUAUAGAUGGACCCGCGGUGUAUUAGCUAGUUGGUGAGGUAACGGCUCACCAAGGCAACGAUACGUAGCCGACCUGAGAGGGUGAUCGGCCACACUGGGACUGAGACACGGCCCAGACUCCUACGGGAGGCAGCAGUAGGGAAUCUUCCGCAAUGGACGAAAGUCUGACGGAGCAAUGCCGCGUGAGUGAAGAAGGUUUUCGGAUCGUAAAACUCUGUUGUAAGGGAAGAACAAGUACGUUAGUAACUGAACGUACCUUGACGGUACCUUACCAGAAAGCCACGGCUAACUACGUG